AGAAUCAACGCUGGCGGCGUGCCUAACACAUGCAAGUCGAACGAGAAAGUGGAGCAAUCCAUGAGUAAAGUGGCGACCGGGUGAGUAACACGUGACCAAUCUACCCUUGAGUGGGGGAUAACCUCGGGAAACCGGGGCUAAUACCGCAUAAUAUCCUUGGAACGGAAGUACUGGGGAUCAAAGGAGCAAUUCGCUUAAGGAGGAGGUCGCGGCUGAUUAGCUAGUUGGCGGGGUAAUGGCCCACCAAGGCAAAGAUCGGUAGCCGGCCUGAGAGGGCGCACGGCCACACUGGAACUGAAACACGGUCCAGACUCCUACGGGAGGCAGCAGUGGGGAAUUUUGCGCAAUGGGGGAAACCCUGACGCAGCAACGCCGCGUGGAGGAUGAAGUCCCUUGGGACGUAAACUCCUUUCGACCCGGACGAUAAUGACGGUACGGGUGGAAGAAGCCCCGGCUAACGUUCGUGCCAGCAGGCCGC
This 478-nucleotide ribosomal RNA is filed under the name uncultured bacterium. Its description in RNAcentral is "SSU rRNA". It matches the Rfam family "Bacterial small subunit ribosomal RNA", at positions 26 to 518 of the family's 1533-position model. The record is from RNAcentral.